AGAGUUUGAUUCUGGCUCAGGAUGAACGCUAGCUACAGGCUUAACACAUGCAAGUCGAGGGGAAACGACAUCGAAAGCUUGCUUUUGAUGGGCGUCGACCGGCGCACGGGUGAGUAACGCGUAUCCAACCUGCCCACCACUUGGGGAUAACCUUGCGAAAGUAAGACUAAUACCCAAUGAUAUCUCUAGAAGACAUCUGAAAGAGAUUAAAGAUUUAUCGGUGAUGGAUGGGGAUGCGUCUGAUUAGCUUGUUGGCGGGGUAACGGCCCACCAAGGCAACGAUCAGUAGGGGUUCUGAGAGGAAGGUCCCCCACAUUGGAACUGAGACACGGUCCAAACUCCUACGGGAGGCAGCAGUGAGGAAUAUUGGUCAAUGGACGAGAGUCUGAACCAGCCAAGUAGCGUGCAGGAAGACGGCCCUAUGGGUUGUAAACUGCUUUUAUAAGGGAAUAAAGUGAGUCUCGUGAGACUUUUUGCAUGUACCUUAUGAAUAAGGACCGGCUAAUUCCGUGCCAGCAGCCGCGGUAAUACGGAAGGUCCGGGCGUUAUCCGGAUUUAUUGGGUUUAAAGGGAGCGUAGGCCGGAGAUUAAGCGUGUUGUGAAAUGUAGAUGCUCAACAUCUGAACUGCAGCGCGAACUGGUUUCCUUGAGUACGCACAAAGUGGGCGGAAUUCGUGGUGUAGCGGUGAAAUGCUUAGAUAUCACGAAGAACUCCGAUUGCGAAGGCAGCUCACUGGAGCGCAACUGACGCUGAAGCUCGAAAGUGCGGGUAUCGAACAGGAUUAGAUACCCUGGUAGUCCGCACGGUAAACGAAGGAUGCCCGCUGUUGGUUUGUAUAGGUCAGCGGCCAAGCGAAAGCAUUAAGCAAUCCCACCUGGGGAGUACGCCGGCAACGGUGAAACUCAAAGGAAUAGAAGGGGGCCCGCACAAGCGGAGGAACAUGUGGUUUAAUUAGAUGAUACGCGAGGAACCUUACCCGGGCUUGAAUUGCAGAGGAAGGAUUUGGAGACAAAAAAACCCUUCGGGGCCUCUGUGGGGGUGCUGCGUGGUUGUCGUCGGCUCGUGCCGUG
Molecule: ribosomal RNA, 1071 nt
Filed under: uncultured bacterium
Lineage: Bacteria
Description: bacterial SSU rRNA
Rfam family: Bacterial small subunit ribosomal RNA
Source: RNAcentral